Long non-coding RNA from Monodelphis domestica (gray short-tailed opossum), 397 nucleotides. RefSeq lists it as uncharacterized. The record is from RefSeq and is a predicted model, not a curated record. Lineage: Eukaryota; Metazoa; Chordata; Mammalia; Didelphimorphia; Didelphidae.
CCACCUUUUUUUUCUUCCCCCCACCAUUAACAGAUUUUAACAGUUUACAGGUAUACAGCUGUCGUCCCAACAAUCCCAUAAGCUGAUACCUGGACCGACUCAGGAAACAGAAGAGAGCUGGCUGUUAUAACAUUUACCAACAUACCCCUGCCCAAAGCCUUGCAAAGAAAAGAAAAAGACAAGCCAUGAUGAAAAACAGGGUGGUUUGAGUGGAAAAAGUCCUAGGAUGAAGAAUCAGAAAAUUCUACUUCUGGAUUCACCUGUGCCACUUAUUUGGGCCAGUAACUUAUCCUCGCUGAAUCUCAACUUGCUUGACUGUAAAAUGGGAAUGAUGCUACCUGUCCUACUUAACUUUAUAGUGUUGUUGUAAAAAUUAAAUGAAGUCAUGGCAUAAAAA